UGCUAAUACCGGAUACGAAGUCUGUGCCGCAUGGUACGGAUUUGAAAGAUGGCCUCUGUUUACAAGCUAUCGCCGGGGGAUGGGCCUGCGUCCGAUUAGCUGGUUGGUGGGGUAACGGCCUACCAAGGCGACGAUCGGUAGCCGGUCUGAGAGGAUGAACGGCCACAUUGGGACUGAGACACGGCCCAGACUCCUACGGGAGGCAGCAGUGGGGAAUCUUCCGCAAUGGGCGCAAGCCUGACGGAGCAACGCCGCGUGAGUGAGGAAGUUCUUCAGAACGUAAAGCUCUGUUGUUCCUGACGAACCUCCCUUCUAUGAACAACGGAGGGGACUGACGGUAGGGAACGAGGAAGCCACGGCUAACUACGUGCC
Molecule: ribosomal RNA, 372 nt
Filed under: uncultured bacterium
Lineage: Bacteria
Description: bacterial SSU rRNA
Rfam family: Bacterial small subunit ribosomal RNA
Source: RNAcentral